Molecule: long non-coding RNA, 606 nt
Filed under: Ananas comosus (pineapple)
Lineage: Eukaryota; Viridiplantae; Streptophyta; Magnoliopsida; Poales; Bromeliaceae
Description: long non-coding RNA (ACOM_LNC014446)
Source: RNAcentral
AAACCAUCAAAUCCAAAAUCGUAAAAGCUUAUUAGAUUGUCGCUCAUAAUAAGUAUAUAUCCUCUAUUGAUUCUUAUUCCAAACAGAACUAAUAACAAAUAAAUUAAUAUUAUCUGUAAAUAUCUGUUAGGCAUUACUGCUGUUGCGCAGAACAGUAGUGCGUUCCAGUAUGAAUUAGGAUUAAUUUCAUACAGGUCUCUACAAAUAUAGUAAAUAAUAAAUAUAUCUCUACAAAGUUCAACUUUUAUAUUAUUUCUAUAAAAAUCUUGAUAUUUUUAAAUAUGUCCAUAUUGUUAGGAUUCAUUAGAAAAAAUUAGUUAACCAUAAGCAAAAUAAUAAACCCUAGUUAGUUAAUGAAGUGUAUUGAUAUUUUUAUCCCUCUUCAAUUAACAGUUUAAAUUUUUGAAGGGAUACAUAUAUGAUGACAAAAAGAUCAUUUCACUUAUAAAAUAAAUAAUGCUUUAACGGUAAUAAACUAGAGAGAGAUAUUUGAAAAAAUUAGAAUUCUUACAGAAACAACAUAUAAAAGUUUAACUUUAUAAAGGUAUAUUUAUAAUUUAUUAUAUUUGUAGUGACCCGUAUGAAAUUAACCCUAUAAGUUAAUAA